AGCAGCCAUCAUUUAAAGAAAGCGUAAUAGCUCACUGGUCGAGUCGGCCUGCGCGGAAGAUGUAACGGGGCUAAACCAUGCACCGAAGCUGCGGCAGCGACACUGUGUGUUGUUGGGUAGGGGAGCGUUCUGUAAGCCUGUGAAGGUGUGUCGUGAGGCAUGCUGGAGGUAUCAGAAGUGCGAAUGCUGACAUAAGUAACGAUAAAGCGGGUGAAAAGCCCGCUCGCCGGAAGACCAAGGGUUCCUGUCCAACGUUAAUCGGGGCAGGGUGAGUCGACCCCUAAGGCGAGGCCGAAAGGCGUAGUCGAUGGGAAACGGGUUAAUAUUCCCGUACUUGGUGUUACUGCGAAGGGGGGACGGAGAAGGCUAUGUUGGCCGGGCGACGGUUGUCCCGGUUUAAGCGUGUAGGUGUGUGUUCCAGGUAAAUCCGGUUCACUUUAACACUGAGGCGUGACGACGAGGCACUACGGUGCUGAAGCAACAAAUGCCCUGCUUCCAGGAAAAGCCUCUAAGCAUCAGGUAACAUCAAAUCGUACCCCAAACCGACACAGGUGGUCAGGUAGAGAAUACCAAGGCGCUUGAGAGAACUCGGGUGAAGGAACUAGGCAAAAUGGUGCCGUAACUUCGGGAGAAGGCACGCUGACACGUAGGUGAAGUGAUUUACUCAUGGAGCUGAAGUCAGUCGAAGAUACCAGCUGGCUGCAACUGUUUAUUAAAAACACAGCACUGUGCAAACACGAAAGUGGACGUAUACGGUGUGACGCCUGCCCGGUGCCGGAAGGUUAAUUGAUGGGGUCAGCGCAAGCGAAGCUCCUGAUCGAAGCCCCGGUAAACGGCGGCCGUAACUAUAACGGUCCUAAGGUAGCGAAAUUCCUUGUCGGGUAAGUUCCGACCUGCACGAAUGGCGUAAUGAUGGCCAGGCUGUCUCCACCCGAGACUCAGUGAAAUUGAACUCGCUGUGAAGAUGCAGUGUACCCGCGGCAAGACGGAAAGACCCCGUGAACCUUUACUAUAGCUUGACACUGAACAUUGAGCCUUGAUGUGUAGGAUAGGUGGGAGGCUUUGAAGUGUGGACGCCAGUCUGCAUGGAGCCGACCUUGAAAUACCACCCUUUAAUGUUUGAUGUUCUAACGUGGACCCGUUACCCGGGUUGCGGACAGUGUCUGGUGGGUAGUUUGACUGGGGCGGUCUCCUCCUAAAGAGUAACGGAGGAGCACGAAGGUUGGCUAAUCCUGGUCGGACAUCAGGAGGUUAGUGCAAUGGCAUAAGCCAGCUUGACUGCGAGCGUGACGGCGCGAGCAGGUGCGAAAGCAGGUCAUAGUGAUCCGGUGGUUCUGAAUGGAAGGGCCAUCGCUCAACGGAUAAAAGGUACUCCGGGGAUAACAGGCUGAUACCGCCCAAGAGUUCAUAUCGACGGCGGUGUUUGGCACCUCGAUGUCGGCUCAUCACAUCCUGGGGCUGAAGUAGGUCCCAAGGGUAUGGCUGUUCGCCAUUUAAAGUGGUACGCGAGCUGGGUUUAGAACGUCGUGAGACAGUUCGGUCCCUAUCUGCCGUGGGCGCUGGAGAACUGAGGGGGGCUGCUCCUAGUACGAGAGGACCGGAGUGGACGCAUCACUGGUGUUCGGGUUGUCAUGCCAAUGGCACUGCCCGGUAGCUAAAUGCGGAAGAGAUAAGUGCUGAAAGCAUCUAAGCACGAAACUUGCCCCGA
RNAcentral lists this ribosomal RNA (1708 nucleotides) under Salmonella enterica. RNAcentral describes it as "partial 23S ribosomal RNA". It matches the Rfam family "Bacterial large subunit ribosomal RNA", at positions 1111 to 2802 of the family's 2925-position model. RNAcentral also lists the same sequence under 1 other name. Lineage: Bacteria; Pseudomonadati; Pseudomonadota; Gammaproteobacteria; Enterobacterales; Enterobacteriaceae. The record is from RNAcentral.